GAAUGAAUAAGAUGAGAUAGUGAAUAAUACACUGGGAGUUUAAAGGGAGGUUUUGGCUCUGUUGAGCCAUGUGAGAAUGGGUGUGUGUGUGUGUGUGUGUGUGUGAUAAGAAGCCAUGUUUAACUCAGACAGACAUGCACACAUGGUCUCAUGGGAAUUCGGACAUGUGCACACCCGGAUAUGUGAUAUGAGGACGGCGUCUCAGCUGUCUUUAGAGCUUGAUUCGUCCAAUCAGCCGUGUGGGCAAAGCAUUUUUGUCACAGAGUAGUGAAUUCCACAAGGUUUUGGAAAAGUUCCUUUGAAGUACUGGUCCAUGCUGACAUGACUGCCAGACAUAUUUACUGCAGAUUUAUCAGCUGCGCAUUCAUCCUGAAAAUCUCUCGUUGUACCACAUCCCAAUCGUGCUCACUAUUAGAUUCAGAGCUGGUGACUUGGAGGACCAUCGAAGUACAGUACCCUGAACUCAUGGUUAUGUUCAUGGAACCAGUUUGAGAUGGCUUUGGGACAUGCUUGAAGUAACCAUUAUAAGAUGGUUAGCGACAAUACACAGACAGGCCGUGGCAUUUAAACGAUGCUUUCCCCACACCGUUACACUACCACCACCAGCCUGAAGUGUUGUUACAAGGCAGGUUAGAUCUACAUGGAUUCAUGCUGAAAUCCAUGAAAUGCAGCAGAAUCGAGAUUCAGCAGAUCAGGAGAUGUUUUAUUAGUUGUCAACAGUCCAGUUUCAGUGAGCCUGUACCCACUGUAGUCUCAGAUCCUGGUUCCUGGCUUGCAGGAGUGGAAUCUGAUCCAGUUAUCUGCUGUUGUAGCCCAGGUUUGGUUUGAUGAUGUGUGUUCUGAGAUGAUUUUCUGUUCACUGCAGUUGUAAAGAGUGGUUAUUUGAGUCUUCUUUGGAAUUGUACUUUUUUAUGAGCAGAUAAUUUUACUCAAUUCGACCAUUAAAAAAUUUUUUUUUUUAAAGAAAAGAAACACAACGAGACAUUUUAAGUAAAAAAAAAUAGCCUCGACAUUUAGGUUGGUCGAAUAAAUUUGGUCAAAAAUUUGCAACCGUCUCAAGAUUUAUUCUUUGCUUCAGGUUCAAAACAGACUUCUCGUCUGUCGAAAGUGGUACGAUGAAUAUCCUCAUGGAAAUAAGAUACAGUCACUUUAAAUUAUUAAUGGUUAACGAUUAAAAGGUAACUUUUUUUUUUCAUUGCCAUUCAGUCGUGAUGUCAUGAGGAAUUUUAUGUCACUGGACUUUCAUAAAUUGUGGUUGAAAAGUUAAGAAAAAUGGAUUUGUUUGUAAACAGAGUGUAUUAGAAAUGUGAUAGAUUUCUUCUGUCCUGUACGUCACUCUGACACUGUGGCAUGAGUCGACACUGACGUUAGUGUGUGAGUGUAUGUGUAGAGUUUAGGUCAGUGUGUGCGUGUGUAUGUGAGUGUACAUGCAGGGUUUAGGUCAGUGUGUGUGUGGAUAUACGUGUGAAGCUCUGAGUCUCAAACAACAGCAGGAAAGGGCUCACUCCAUGGCCAUAGGAAAUUACAUCAGCACAAAUCUGCAGCUGCCAGGAAGUGUACAGAAUGAAAAGUGUGUGAAGGAAAUGUCCUGAAGUUUGAAGAAAGUAGGAGGAGGAGGAGAUCAUAUGAGCUUUGAUUCAUCUGAGAACUCCACCAGUCAGUCUCGAGAAUGUUCAUGGAUACGAUUUGUUUACGGUUGAAAGAAUUGAUCGAUCAUCAGGUAAAUAAGCGCAUGAUUAUUUUCAGUUUUUUUUUUAGAAGUAUUUUGUGUGUAUAAUAGUGUAUAUGAUGUUAU
Long non-coding RNA from Ictalurus punctatus (channel catfish), 1795 nucleotides. NCBI's taxonomy places the organism in Eukaryota, Metazoa, Chordata, Actinopteri, Siluriformes, Ictaluridae. The record is from Ensembl.